AUGGUCAGGUGGUCUGAGAUCUGCAAACCUCGCGACCAAGACGGACUCGGGAUUAUGUCCUUCAAAUGCAUGAACAUUGCCCUCCUAACUCGGUGGCUCUGGUAGAUUGCCAACGGAGGUGGUGGCCUGUGGCUUCGCAUCAUUCAGCAGAAAUACCUCCGUGGCUAG
Molecule: ribosomal RNA, 168 nt
Filed under: Triticum aestivum (bread wheat)
Lineage: Eukaryota; Viridiplantae; Streptophyta; Magnoliopsida; Poales; Poaceae
Description: partial small subunit ribosomal RNA
Source: RNAcentral